Microcebus murinus (gray mouse lemur) is the source of this 2901-nucleotide long non-coding RNA. The record is from Ensembl. Lineage: Eukaryota; Metazoa; Chordata; Mammalia; Primates; Cheirogaleidae.
GUCCAUUUUGGGCCCAUCCAGGGAGGCUCUGUGAGGCUCAUCGUAGUUAUGACGGGAGCAGCCACAUUCCAGAACAUUCUGGAACGUCGCUUGCUGCCAUGCCUGGAAGAAAAUAAGAGCUUUGGAGGGUCUGGCACGCACAGUUAAAUGCUCUAGCCUGGGAAUGACGUGUCAGUUUCGCUCACAGCUCAUUGGUUACAGCUGGUCACAUGACCUCGUUCACACAAAGCAGGCAGGAAGUAAGUACAGUUAGUUCUACCUUGUGCCCAGAAAGGGGAGCGCAGGGAAUGAAUGCUCCGACAGCUAACAGGGUGCUGUGACAAUGAAGUGAGUCAGUGAGUGGAAACUCAUCUAGGGCAGCACCUGGCGCGAGUGCUGUUUUUGCAUCCCCAGUUUUGUGUUUUAACAGGAAGGGUGACCCCACUCAGGUGCCUCUUUGACACUGGUUGAGCAGGACCAAGAUGGAUCAGUGGCUGGAAGCCUGGAACAUAUGCGACAGGUGUGCGCCACGUGCGGGCCAGUCAUUGUUUAACCGUCUAGAACUCAAUGCAAAGAAGAACUGUCCAUGGCUGCAGCGGAACACAGAUCACAAAGCCCAUGCAGGCGCUGUGUGGCCCAGAGGUCUUGUCAACUCCAAGAAGGUGGGGGACCCAUUUGUUCUGCCUUGAGAAGCAUAAGGUCCGGCAUGCGGUGGAUGGUUAUUGUAUUUUUGUGAAGUUGAACUGAUGCUCGUGAUCCUUAUUUAUAGCCCAUGGACUUGUGGUUUUGACACAGUAGUAACAAGCUUUGUGAUGUCAAGUGCAGCCAAGGAAAUAGGCAAGGUGGACAUACCAGCACUCAUGGCAAAGGAUGGAAUGAAAUCCUGCCUCCUUCUCUACUUCCUAAUUGUACCUUGAUUCCCCCUUCUUUUAUUUUUUUACAUUUAUUUACUUAUUUAUUUUGAGACAGAGUCUCACUCUGUUGCCCAGACUAGAGUGAGUGCCGUGGCAUCAGCCUCGCUCACAGCAUCCUCAAACUCCUGGGCUCAAGUGAUCCUCCUGCCUCAGCCUCCCGAGUAGCUGGGACUACAGGCAUGCGCCACCAUGCCCGGCUAAUUUUUUCUGUAUAUUUUUAGCUGUCCAAGUAAUUUCUUUCUAUUUUUAGUAGAGAUAGGGUCUCGCUCUUGCUCAGGCUGGUCUCGAAUUCCUGAGCUCAAACGAUCCACCCGCCUCAGCCUCCCAGAGUACUAGGAUUACAGGCGUGAGCCACCGCGCCCGGCCUUACUUUUAUUUUUUUAGAGACAGAGUCUCAUUCUGUUGCCCAGCUGGAGUGCAGUGGUGCAGUGGUAGCUCACUACAGCCCUGAACUCCUGGGCUCAAGCGAUCCUCCUGCCUGAGUCUCCCGAAAGUAGCUGGGACUGCAGGCACGCACCACCAUGCCUGGCUUUGGUUCCCCCUUCUGUAAAAUGGGUUCUUCGGAGGUUUACAGAAAAUCAUGUCUGUCAAGGGUUUAGCAUGGUGCCUGGCACCUAGUAAAUGCUCAAUAAAACACUCACUUGAAUUUUUGAAGGGACUAACCAAAAAACUAUAAAAACAGACAUAAGAUCUCAAAACCCCACGGCAGCCUGAGGGCAACCUUGUGAGGUUCUAAGACCAUGGAACAAGACCAAAAUUUAUCUCGUUCACACAAAGGAGGGGCUGAGAUCCUGCUAUCUAUAGAAGGCCUGAACAAGGAUUUGAAAAACAAUCUAUAACAUUUAUAUACAGAAUAAGAUCCGAUAUUUAUCAGCCUCUGGGCAUUUGUACCUCCCAGAUAUCUGAUGAAGUAGACACUAUGAUUACCCCAUUUAGAGAUGAGGAAAAUGAAAGCUCAGAGAGGUUGAGAAAUUUGCCCAAGCUCACACAGCAGAGAGUGGUCAGGCUGGGAUUCCGGCCUGGCUCCGUCUGACCCUAAAGCCCUGCCCCGAGUAAGAUAAGAAGGAUAAAUACCUAAAGAUCAACAGUGGAAAUGUUGCUCAAGGCUGGAAAUGCAGGAGAUCUUUAUUGUCUGUUGGUUUAUACUGCGUGUGUUUCCUGCCUGGAAUAAGAAAAAAAAUAAGUUGAAUAUUUAAAAAUUCUCCUGAAAUCUAACCAGUUCAGGAGGAGGAAGAACGCUUUUUGGUUAGGGUCCCCGUGGGAGGCAGACUCUGCCAUUACAAAGUCUGUUAUAAAGACAAGGGAAGUUGGAAAAGAUUUCAGUGACAUUGGGAAGAUGUUACUAUCUCUAGGAGCUGUGGCCGUGGGGCAGGUGAGUGACCAGCUUUCAGGACAGGGUGUGAAGGUGACUCAUCCCCUCCCAGUUGGCUGACCCCCCCAGCUGCAAGCCAAGGGACCAGGGGGCCCCGUAUCUGCCCUAGGAUCCAAGUGAGGAAGGGUGAAAAGCGAAUUUAGAGGGCCUAUCUAAUGGGAACUAUCUUGUCCUUCCCUCCUCAAGUUCAAAACCAGCCCGUUCUUCCACCAAUGGGAGCGCCCCUUGGAGAAAUCUUUGUUUUCUCGCACAAGAUGAUGCACACAAAAUGUUGGCAACAAUCUAAGGUUUAUCAACAGCAGGAAAUGGGUUAAAAGAAUUAUGGCUCAGACCAUGGAAAGCGAGACUAAAAUAAAACAGGUGGAAAAAGUACCAAAAUCUGUCGUGAUCAUAACGGGUUGAAUUGUGACCCCCACGAAGAUAUGUCUGAGUCCUUGCGCCUGGUACCCAGGAAGGUGGCUUGAUUUGGAAGCUGGGUCUUUUUUUUUUUUUUUUUUUGAGACAGAGUCUCGCUUGCCCAGUUGCCCAGGCUAGAGUGAGUGCCGUGGCAUCAGCCUAGCUCACAGCAACCUCAAUCUCCUGGGCUCAAGCAAUCCUCUGCUCAGCCUCCCGAGUAGCUGGGACUACAGGCAUGCG